Long non-coding RNA from Ictalurus punctatus (channel catfish), 1260 nucleotides. The record is from Ensembl. NCBI's taxonomy places the organism in Eukaryota, Metazoa, Chordata, Actinopteri, Siluriformes, Ictaluridae.
CUUGGCAAAGCGUCGCAGUUCCCAUGUCGAGAAACGUUAUGAAAUGCUAUAUAUCCUACUGGUGGUCAUGGGUCAUUACGACCAGUCAGCGGCUUCGUUACGGCGUUUUCUUUUCACGUUUCAACCCCGAUCAGCCGGAAAAUAAUAUAAAUAAAUGAAUAAAACGCAACUGGGAACCACUCCUUACAUACCAGGCUUCUCCUGUCACGCGGUCGUGUUCGGAGUACAGCACAGCAGAGGGUGUGCACGAGACGCGAGGGUGCUCGAGCUCAGCAACUCGACAACACUCCAAGAACGAAUAAGAGUGUCUUCAUUUCAGAGAUAAAAGUCUGGGGGCUUUUUUGAUGAGGUGAGAUGGCAGAGCAGAUAGUCUACAAUGCCGAGCCUGAAAAGUUUUAGUCAUGAUGUACUAACAGGCCUGCCUGUGAGGUCCAUAACCGACGGUCCAUUUAUAUUUCAGGAGCAUCGUUAGCUGCAGGCGUCUGUAGCAAGAAGCUUCCUCUUGGCUUAGGGCUUUGAUCCGGUGUAGUACAAACAGUGCAAAAACCUGAAAGAGAAAUGAUACUGACUCGAACGGACGGGGGAAAGAGGAAGACGGGUGAUGAGGUGAAAGCGUGCGAGAUAUAUAAAUAAAGGCGGGCAGGAAUUUCACGUGAAGAGCCAUAGAAGAACGCAGACGGGCUUUUCAGUACAGCGACUGCGACACCGGCACGUAUACCGUACGCCGUCGACUCCACGCGUCUCUCUCUUCAGGGACCGGGACGCGAAGUUUAACUCCUUUCAGCGUCGGUAGGCAGGACGUCUCGGCCCGUCGAGACGCUGAGAUGGAAAAACCGCUCGACAUGAGUAAAAUCUUUUGAACGACACAUCAGACUUCAGUACGAACCACAACACAGCAGUCAGUAAAAAAAAAAAACACACGACGAAGAAAAACCCAGAGGAAAAAUCCCAUUAAGUAUCCAUAUUUGGACAUAUUGUUUGUUUAUUUAUUUAUUUAUUUAUUUUUAUGGUACACCAUUGGCACAGAUUCUGCUCUUAUAAAACCACGCUGUAUAGUUUCCCUAGUUCUUCAGUGCUACUGCAGGAUAAGUGUGUGUUUACAUGAGAGAGAGAGACAUGAGAGAGAGAGACAUGAGAGAGAGAGAGACAUGAGAGAGAGAGAGAGACAUGAGAGAGAGAGAGACAUGAGAGAGAGAGACAAGAGAGAGAGACAUGAGAGAGAGAGAGACAUGAGAGAGAGAGAGAGACAUGAGAGAGAGA